Molecule: ribosomal RNA, 342 nt
Filed under: uncultured Streptococcus sp.
Lineage: Bacteria; Bacillati; Bacillota; Bacilli; Lactobacillales; Streptococcaceae
Description: bacterial SSU rRNA
Rfam family: Bacterial small subunit ribosomal RNA
Source: RNAcentral
UGGUGCAUGGUUGUCGGUCAGCUCGUGUCGUGAGAUGUUGGGUUAAGUCCCGCAACGAGCGCAACCCCUAUUGUAGUUGCCAUCAUUCAGUUGGGCACUCUAGCGAGACUGCCGGUAAUAAACCGGAGGAAGGUGGGAUGACGUCAAAUCAUCAUGCCCCUUAUGACCUGGGCUACACACGUGCUACAAUGGUUGGUACAACGAGUUGCGAGUCGGUGACGGCGAGCUAAUCUCUUAAAGCCAAUCUCAGUUCGGAUUGUAGGCUGCAACUCGCCUACAUGAAGUCGGAAUCGCUAGUAAUCGCGGAUCAGCACGCCGCGGUCGAAUACGUUCCCGGGCCUU